RNAcentral lists this ribosomal RNA (253 nucleotides) under uncultured bacterium. Its description in RNAcentral is "partial 16S ribosomal RNA". It matches the Rfam family "Bacterial small subunit ribosomal RNA", at positions 524 to 776 of the family's 1533-position model. The record is from RNAcentral.
UACGUAGGGGGCAAGCGUUGUCCGGAUUUAUUGGGCGUAAAGAGCGUGUAGGCGGCCAGAUAGGUCCGUUGUGAAAACUGGAGGCUUAACCUCCAGCUGUCGAUGGAAACCAUCUGGCUAGAGUCCGGAAGAGGAGAGUGGAAUUCCUGGUGUAGCGGUGAAAUGCGCAGAUAUCAGGAGGAACACCCGUGGCGAAGGCGGCUCUCUGGGACGGUACUGACGCUGAGACGCGAAAGCGUGGGGAGCGAACAGG